RNAcentral lists this ribosomal RNA (310 nucleotides) under uncultured bacterium. RNAcentral's name for it is "bacterial SSU rRNA". It matches the Rfam family "Bacterial small subunit ribosomal RNA", at positions 30 to 334 of the family's 1533-position model. The record is from RNAcentral.
AUUGAACGCUAGCGGGAUGCCUUACACAUGCAAGUCGAACGGCAGCAUAAGAGAGCUUGCUCUCUUGAUGGCGAGUGGCGAACGGGUGAGUAAUGUAUCGGAACGUGUCCUUUUGUGGGGGAUAACUACUCGAAAGAGUAGCUAAUACCGCAUAAUACCUGAGGGUGAAAGCGGGGGACUUUAGGGCCUCGCGCAGUUGGAGCGGCCGAUGACUGAUUAGCUAGUUGGUGGGGUAAAGGCCUACCAAGGCGACGAUCAGUAGCUGGUCUGAGAGGACGACCAGCCACAUUGGGACUGAGACACGGCCCAA